This 731-nucleotide ribosomal RNA is filed under the name uncultured bacterium. Its description in RNAcentral is "bacterial SSU rRNA". It matches the Rfam family "Bacterial small subunit ribosomal RNA", at positions 771 to 1501 of the family's 1533-position model. The record is from RNAcentral.
AACAGGAUUAGAUACCCUGGUAGUCCACGCCGUAAACGAUGAGUGCUAAGUGUUGGAGGGUUUCCGCCCUUCAGUGCUGCAGCUAACACAUUAAGCACUCCGCCUGGGGAGUACGGUCGCAAGACUGAAACUCAAAGGAAUUGACGGGGACCCGCACAAGCGGUGGAGCAUGCGGUUUAAUUCGAAGCAACGCGAAGAACCUUACCAGGUCUUGACACCUCCUGACCACCCUAGAGAUAGGGCUUUCCCUUCGGGGACAGGAUGACAGGUGGUGCAUGGUUGUCGUCAGCUCGUGUCGUGAGAUGUUGGGUUAAGUCCCGCAACGAGCGCAACCCUUGUCCUUAGUUGCCAGCAUUCAGUUGGCACUCUAAGGAGACUGCCGGCUAAAAGUCGGAGGAAGGUGGGGAUGACGUCAAAUCAUCAUGCCCCUUAUGACCUGGGCUACACACGUGCUACAAUGGAUGGUACAAAGGGCUGCGAUACCGCGAGGUGGAGCUAAUCCCAAAAAACCAUUCUCAGUUCGGAUUGCAGGCUGCAACUCGCCUGCAUGAAGCCGGAAUCGCUAGUAAUCGCAGAUCAGCAUGCUGCGGCGAAUACGUUCCCGGGUCUUGUACACACCGCCCGUCACACCACGAGAGUUUGUAACACCCGAAGUCGGUGAGGUAACCCUUUUGGGAGCCAGCCGCCGAAGGUGGGACAGAUGAUUGGGGUGAAGUCGUAACAAGGUAACC